UAGGGAAUCUUCGGCAAUGGGGGGAACCCUGACCGAGCAACGCCGCGUGAGUGAAGAAGGUUUUCGGAUCGUAAAGCUCUGUUGUUAAGGAAGAACGAGUGUGAGAAUGGAAAGUUCAUACUGUGACGGUACUUAACCAGAAAGGGACGGCUAACUACGUGCCAGCAGCCGCGGUAAUACGUAGGUCCCGAGCGUUGUCCGGAUUUAUUGGGCGUAAAGCGAGCGCAGGCGGUUAGAUAAGUCUGAAGUUAAAGGCAGUGGCUCAACCAUUGUAGGCUUUGGAAACUGUUUAACUUGAGUGCAGAAGGGGAGAGUGGAAUUCCAUGUGUAGCGGUGAAAUGCGUAGAUAUAUGGAGGAACACCGGUGGCGAAAGCGGCUCUCUGGUCUGUAACUGACGCUGAUGUGCGAAAGCGUGGGGAUCAAACAGG
RNAcentral lists this ribosomal RNA (429 nucleotides) under Bacteroidota bacterium. RNAcentral describes it as "Bacteroidetes bacterium partial 16S ribosomal RNA". It matches the Rfam family "Bacterial small subunit ribosomal RNA", at positions 355 to 776 of the family's 1533-position model. Lineage: Bacteria; Pseudomonadati; Bacteroidota. The record is from RNAcentral.